RNAcentral lists this ribosomal RNA (478 nucleotides) under uncultured bacterium. Its description in RNAcentral is "partial 16S ribosomal RNA". It matches the Rfam family "Bacterial small subunit ribosomal RNA", at positions 28 to 507 of the family's 1533-position model. The record is from RNAcentral.
GAUGAACGCUGGCGGCGUGCUUAACACAUGCCAGUCGAACGAGAAGUGGAGACGGAAACCUUCGGGCGGAAGACUUUAUUUCGAGUGGCGGACGGGUGAGUAACGCGUGGGUAACCUGCCUCAUACAGGGGGAUAACAGUUGGAAACGACUGUUAAUACCGCAUAAGACCACAGCACCGCAUGGUGCGGGGGUAAAAACUCCGGUGGUAUGAGAUGGACCCGCGUUCGAUUAGCCAGUUGGCGGGGUAACGGCCCACCAAAGCGACGAUCGAUAGCCGAUCUGAGAGGAUGACCGGCCACAUUGGGACUGAGACACGGCCCAAACUCCUACGGGAGGCAGCAGUGGGGAAUAUUGCACAAUGGGGGAAACCCUGAUGCAGCGACGCCGCGUGAGUGAAGAAGUAUUUCGGUAUGUAAAGCUCUAUCAGCAGGGAAGAAAAUGACGGUACCUGAGGAAGAAGCCCCGGCUAACUACGUG